RNAcentral lists this ribosomal RNA (226 nucleotides) under uncultured bacterium. RNAcentral's name for it is "partial 16S ribosomal RNA". It matches the Rfam family "Bacterial small subunit ribosomal RNA", at positions 15 to 230 of the family's 1533-position model. The record is from RNAcentral.
GAUCAUGGCUCAGGAUGAACGCUAGCUACAGGCUUAACACAUGCAAGUCGAGGGGCAGCAUGGCCUUAGCUUGCUAAGGCUGAUGGCGACCGGCGCACGGGUGAGUAACACGUAUCCAACCUGCCGUCUACUCUUGGCCAGCCUUCUGAAAGGAAGAUUAAUCCAGGAUGGGAUCAUGAGUUCACAUGUCCGCAUAAUUAAAGGUAUUUUCCGGUAGACGAUGGGG